CUAUGGGUCUCUUUGGGGUUUCUGUGGGUCUCUAUGAGGCACGCUGUGGGUCUCUAUGGGUCGCUGUGGGGCACGCUGUGGGGCACGCUGUGGAUCUCUGUGGGUCUCUUUGGGGUCUCUGUGGGUCUCUGUGGGUUGCUAUGGGUCGCUAUGGGGCACUGUGUGGGUCUCUAUGGGUCUCCAUGGGUUUCUUUGGGCGCUGUGGGGCACGCUAUGGGGCAUGCUACGGGUCGCUGUGGGGCACGCUAUGGGUCUCUUUGGGGGUCUCUGUGGGUCUCUGUGGGUCUCUAUGGGGCACGCUAUGGGGCACUGUCGGUCUCUGUGGGUCCCUAUGGGUCGCUGUGGGGCACGCUGUGGGGCACUCAGGGGCACUCAGGGGCCUGCUGUGGGUCGCUGUGGGUCGCUAUGGGGCACACUGUGGGUCUCUAUGGGUCUAUGGGGUUUCUGUGGGUCUCUAUGGGUUGCUAUGGGGCACGCUAUGGGUCUCUAUGGGUCGCUAUGGGGCCCGCUGUGGGGCACGCUAUGGGUCUUUAUGGGUCUCUGUGGGGCACACUGUGGGUGUCUAUGGGGCACGCUAUGGGUCUCUGAGUCUCUGUGGGUCUCUAUGGGGUUUCUAUGGGUCUCUAUGGGGCACGCUGGGGGUUUCUGUGGGUCUCUAUGGGUCGCUAUGGGGCACGCUAUGGGUCCCUAUGGGUCUCUAUGGGUCGCUAUGGGUCGCUAUGGGGCACGCUGUGGGGCAUGCCGUGGGUCUCUCUGGGUCUCUAUGGGGCACGCUGUGGGUCUCUCUGGGUCUCUGUGGUUUCUAUGGGUCUCUAUGGGUCGCUAUGGGGCACGCUAUGGGGCACGCUGUGGGGCACGCUAUGGGUCUCUGUGGGUCUCUGGGGUUUCUGUGGGUCGCUAUGGGUCUCUAUGGGGCACGCUGUGGGUCCCUAUGGGUCUCUAUGGGGCGCUGUGGGGC
This 958-nucleotide long non-coding RNA is filed under the name Numida meleagris (helmeted guineafowl). RNAcentral's name for it is "lncRNA (ENSNMEG00000000969.1)". Lineage: Eukaryota; Metazoa; Chordata; Aves; Galliformes; Numididae. The record is from RNAcentral.